GAUGUUUAACCGAUGUUGCACCCUAUAAUGCUUUAUGGAAAUAUGCUUAUGAAUGUAUAUAUGACAUAACUGGGCAUGCCAUGUAACAUAUCUCUGCAAAGGUUAUGAUCUACUGAAUCUAUCCAUCCUAUCUGUACACAUGUAACAUUUUUGUAUUCAAAGUUAUAAAUAUUGGCUGUGUACUUGUUUGAUUUUAAGUAGCCUUAGUAAGGUAUUUGGUCAGAUUCUUAAGCAAGGAAUUUUCAAGUUAAAUGCCCAAUCAAGAAACACGUAACGGACAAUAGAACCUUGGAAGACUCCAAUCCAAAGAAGAAGUCUACUUGGGGACAUUGAAGGUAGCAUGUGAACAAUGGCCACCACCUGUAAAGUUCUGAGUCAUGCGCGGAUAUAUGCCUUGCUGGAUUCUGCAUAGGAGAGAGGAGAGGGACUCCAACCACAAAGGAAAGUCUAUUUAAGCCCCUUGGAGACACCUCCCUUUUGUCUUCAGCUGGCUCAAGAGAUAGCCUCUCCAACCCAAAGGAUGCCUGAAAGAAACUGGAACAAAGGACAGUAACCACAGGGGUGAGGAUCGCUGGACCCAGACUAGAGGGAGAUUAGUCUGUAAAAGAAACAUAUUGGAACAUCUUUGAGGGUGAGAUUUCAUCUGUAAUCACUUUCUUACUGUACUAGACUUAGACUUGCAUGUUUUAUUUUAUUUUGCUUGGUAAUUCACUUUGUUCUGUUUGUUAUUACUUGGAACCACUUAAAUCCUACUUUCUGUAUUUAAUACAA
Long non-coding RNA from Gopherus flavomarginatus (Mexican gopher tortoise), 771 nucleotides. RefSeq lists it as uncharacterized. NCBI's taxonomy places the organism in Eukaryota, Metazoa, Chordata, Testudines, Testudinidae. The transcript has 2 exons. The record is from RefSeq and is a predicted model, not a curated record.